AUUUGAAUUCAUCACCUCUACUGAUUCACAUUAAUAAAUGUUAAUGGAAUGGGCAAGGAAAUGAUCCGACCUUUUGAAGAUCCAUGGACUGCAAGCAAAUAUGACAAGUAGGGUGGCUCUACCCUUGCUAAUUUCAAAAGGCACAAGCAAUAAAGGGGUUCAUCUGCAUGACACUGGCCCCUGUGGACAGGGCCUUUAAAAUGAAUAUCUACAAAAGAAGUGAUAAUCCUGCUACAAUGGAGGGAAACCAUCAACAGAAGACUGAUUUCUGAAAUUUUCUGAAAUACGGAAAAACGGAAAGCAGAAAGUAAAGUACAAUAUUUACUCACGCAGCAAAACAAGGGAAGCCAUAAUCUUGAAUAUGGGCAUCAACGGGGGAUAAGAAAACACCGACCCGUUUGUCAGAAGUCCAGUGAGGUGCUAUAGGAGGAGUGGGUGAGAAGUUUCCGAAAACACUAGAUUUAAUUAAAGACG
RNAcentral lists this non-coding RNA (474 nucleotides) under Pongo abelii (Sumatran orangutan). The record is from RNAcentral. Lineage: Eukaryota; Metazoa; Chordata; Mammalia; Primates; Hominidae.